GCCCGGCUAGCUCAAUCGGUAGAGCGUGAGACUCUUAUCAAGAGUACAUCUCAAGGUUGCGGGUUCGACCCCCGCGUUGGGCU
Molecule: transfer RNA, 83 nt
Filed under: Saccharata proteae CBS 121410
Lineage: Eukaryota; Fungi; Ascomycota; Dothideomycetes; Botryosphaeriales; Saccharataceae
Rfam family: tRNA
About the family: Transfer RNA (tRNA) molecules are approximately 80 nucleotides in length. Their secondary structure includes four short double-helical elements and three loops (D, anti-codon, and T loops).
Source: Rfam by way of RNAcentral